Molecule: ribosomal RNA, 502 nt
Filed under: uncultured bacterium
Lineage: Bacteria
Description: partial 16S ribosomal RNA
Rfam family: Bacterial small subunit ribosomal RNA
Source: RNAcentral
AUUGAACGCUGGCGGAAUGCUUUACACAUGCAAGUCGAACGGCAGCACGGGUGCUUGCACCUGGUGGCGAGUGGCGAACGGGUGAGUAAUACAUCGGAACGUACCCAGUCGUGGGGGAUAACGUAGCGAAAGUUACGCUAAUACCGCAUACGUCCUGAGGGAGAAAGCGGGGGACCGUAAGGCCUCGCGCGAUUGGAGCGGCCGAUGGCGGAUUAGCUAGUUGGUGGGGUAAAGGCCUACCAAGGCGACGAUCCGUAGCGGGUCUGAGAGGACGGCCCGCCACACUGGAACUGAGACACGGUCCAGACUCCUACGGGAGGCAGCAGUGGGGAAUUUUGGACAAUGGGCGAAAGCCUGAUCCAGCCAUUCCGCGUGAGUGAAGAAGGCCUUCGGGUUGUAAAGCUCUUUCGGCAGGGAAGAAACGGCUUGGGAUAGUACCCCGGGCUAAUGACGGUACCUGAAGAAGAAGCACCGGCGAACUACGUGCCAGCCGCCGCAGUAA